This 253-nucleotide ribosomal RNA is filed under the name uncultured bacterium. Its description in RNAcentral is "partial 16S ribosomal RNA". It matches the Rfam family "Bacterial small subunit ribosomal RNA", at positions 524 to 776 of the family's 1533-position model. The record is from RNAcentral.
UACGUAGGGUGCAAGCGUUAAUCGGAAUUACUGGGCGUAAAGCGUGCGCAGGCGGUUAUGUAAGACAGAUGUGAAAUGCCCGGGCUUAACCUGGGAGCUGCAUUUGUGACUGCAUGGCUAGAGUGUGUCAGAGGGGGGUAGAAUUCCACGUGUAGCAGUGAAAUGCGUAGAUAUGUGGAGGAAUACCGAUGGCGAAGGCAGCCCCCUGGGAUAACACUGACGCUCAUGCACGAAAGCGUGGGGAGCAAACAGG